GUGGGGAAUCUUGCGCAAUGGGCGAAAGCCUGACGCAGCCAUGCCGCGUGAAUGAUGAAGGUCUUAGGAUUGUAAAAUUCUUUCACCGGGGACGAUAAUGACGGUACCCGGAGAAGAAGCUCCGGCUAACUUCGUGCCAGCAGCCGCGGUAAUACGAAGGGGGCUAGCGUUGCUCGGAAUUACUGGGCGUAAAGGGCGCGUAGGCGGACAGCUUAGUCAGAGGUGAAAGCACAGGGCUCAACCUUGGAAUUGCCUUGGAUACUGGCUGUCUUGAGUUUGUGAGAGGUGAGUGGACCUCCGAGUGUAGAGGUGAAAUUCGUAGAUAUUCGGAAGAACACCAGUGGCGAAGGCGACUCACUGGCCCAAUACUGACGCUGAGGCGCGAAAGCGUGGGGAGCAAACAGGAUUAGAAACCCUUGUAGUCC
Molecule: ribosomal RNA, 425 nt
Filed under: uncultured bacterium
Lineage: Bacteria
Description: partial 16S ribosomal RNA
Rfam family: Bacterial small subunit ribosomal RNA
Source: RNAcentral